AAAAAGGGCGCGUCACAGAGCAGUAAUGCCGAUGUGUCGGGAGUGGAUGAUUUGCUCCUGCGGUAUGGAUAUCAAGACAUAUCGCGCGCAUAAUUUUUUGCCCAAGGGAAGCUCGCUUACUUUUGGCUUCGCUCAAGCCGGAGCUUCCCA
RNAcentral lists this small nuclear RNA (150 nucleotides) under Rhizopus microsporus ATCC 52813. RNAcentral describes it as "U11 spliceosomal RNA". The stretch from base 1 to 133 matches the Rfam family "U11 spliceosomal RNA". Lineage: Eukaryota; Fungi; Mucoromycota; Mucoromycetes; Mucorales; Rhizopodaceae. The record is from Rfam by way of RNAcentral.